GACGAACGCUGGCGGCGUGCUUAACACAUGCAAGUCGAACGGAAAGGCCCUGCUUUUGUGGGGUGCUCGAGUGGCGAACGGGUGAGUAACACGUGAGUAACCUGCCCUUGACUUUGGGAUAACUUCAGGUAACUGGGGCUAAUACCGGAUAGGAGCUCCUGCUGCAUGGUGGGGGUUGGAAAGUUUCGGCGGUUGGGGAUGGACUCGCGGCUUAUCAGCUUGUUGGUGGGGUAGUGGCAUACCCAGGCUUUGACGGGUCGGCGGCCUGAGAGGGUGACCGGCCACAUUGGGACUGCGAGACGGCCCAGACUCCUACGGGAGGCAGCAGGGGCGAAUAUUGCACAAUGGGCGGAAGCCUGAUGCAGCAACGCCGCGGGCGGGAUGACGGCCUUCGGGUUGUAAACCGCUUUCGCCUGUGACGAAGCGUGAGUGACGGUAAUGGGUAAAGAAGCACCGGCUAACUACGUG
RNAcentral lists this ribosomal RNA (468 nucleotides) under uncultured bacterium. RNAcentral describes it as "partial 16S ribosomal RNA". It matches the Rfam family "Bacterial small subunit ribosomal RNA", at positions 28 to 507 of the family's 1533-position model. The record is from RNAcentral.